CUUAUGUCUACUUACUCCGGCAACGAGAUGGCAACACAAGUUAACAUUUUCCAGAUGGGAUGUCUCUGUCUUUAAACUAGAAGAUGGGUAUUCAGAGGUUAAGAUAGCCUCUGAAGUGUCUUAUUGCCAUACCACUAAUUUUUAAAAAUUAAAUUUUUUUUUUUUUUUUGGAGGGGGAGGCUGGAUUUUCUUUUCACUUAACUGCAGGUUAUAUCCCUGCUCGGCACCAAUUUUAAGUGUACGCUGGAGAGAAGAGACCUGAAUAAAGGAUGCCAACUGUGAUUCCAGACCUUUACAAACUGCUGGUGACUGAUUCAAACCUGAGGCUACAAAUCCCUAAUCAUGAGACCUUAAAAUACCAAAAUACUUCUAUGCUACAGAUUAAGAGAUCAGUUACAUAACUAUAUCAGAGCAGGAGAUUUCUGUGUUGUUUUUAAUAAAUUCAGAUAUGGCAUAAUAAAUAUUAGGUAUAUAAACAUUAAGUGUGUUAGUAAACACACAAUAUGUUUAGUAAACACACUUAAUAUGUUUGUUUUGCUAUUUUGGCUCUGCAAUCAUAAUGACCUACCUAUCUCCAUAAAUUUUUUAAACUAUUGAAGCAACAAUUAAUAUAAGCUUCAUUUUUCAAAACAAGCUUUCCAGCCAUAUUUAAAAAAAA
Molecule: long non-coding RNA, 658 nt
Filed under: Homo sapiens (human)
Lineage: Eukaryota; Metazoa; Chordata; Mammalia; Primates; Hominidae
Description: HSALNT0180794
Source: RNAcentral